CUCUCUUCCUCUCCCUCUCACUCAAAAAAUGAAGAACAAUAACAAUAACAACACAAAGCUGAUCCUUCUUCAUCCUUACAUCCAGAAACAAGGAGGCUCCAAUCGAUUAUGGCUCCUUGCCUUUGUAUCAUUCUUCACCAUCGCUUUCCUUCUUACACUAAUCUACACGAGAGAGACUUUACCUAUAAAAACCAUCACCACCACCAUGGCCACUGGCUCCGCUUCUAGCUCCACCUUUGGCAAUAAUGCUCCACUGCCAACAACAGUAAUCAAUACUCUCCUCCACUAUGCCUCGAGAUCCAAUGACAGUUUCCAUAUGUCCCAUGCCGAAAUCAAGCCAAUAUCUGAUGUACUUAGAAAGUGUUCAUCUCCUUGUAACUUUCUUGUUUUUGGUCUAACACACGAGACACCUCUUUGGAAAGCUCUUAACCACAACGGCCGCACCGUUUUCAUCGAAGAAAACCGCUACUACGCAGCUUAUUAUGAAGAGUUGCAUCCUGAAAUUGAUGUCUUUGAUGUCCAAUACACAACCAAGAUGAAAGAAAUGAGAGAGCUUAUUGCCUCCACCAAGGAGCAAAUAAAAAAUGAAUGCAGGCCAGUGCAGAAUUUACUCUUCUCAGAGUGUAAGCUUGGGAUUAAUGACUUGCCUAAUCAUGUUUACGAGGUUGACUGGGAUGUGAUAUUGAUCGAUGGGCCUAGAGGGGAUGGACCAGAGGGGCCGGGGAGGAUGACACCAAUCUUCACAUCUGGUGUGCUAGCUAGGAGCAAGAAGGCUAGCAAUGCUAAGACUCACAUAUUCGUGCAUGAUUACUACAGAAAUGUGGAGAGAAUUUAUGGUGAUGAGUUCUUGUGCAGAGAGAACCUGGUGGAGUCUAAUGACAUGCUUGCUCAUUUUGUGGUAGAGAAAAUGGAUGAGAAUAGCUUCCAGUUCUGUCGCAACCAUACAGCAGCUUCUUCUCCCUAAUUGUUUCGAGUAUCCUCUUGAUCAU
This 989-nucleotide long non-coding RNA is filed under the name Populus trichocarpa (black cottonwood). RNAcentral describes it as "long non-coding RNA (PTRI_LNC001510)". The record is from RNAcentral. Lineage: Eukaryota; Viridiplantae; Streptophyta; Magnoliopsida; Malpighiales; Salicaceae.